RNAcentral lists this ribosomal RNA (407 nucleotides) under uncultured bacterium. Its description in RNAcentral is "partial 16S ribosomal RNA". It matches the Rfam family "Bacterial small subunit ribosomal RNA", at positions 30 to 526 of the family's 1533-position model. The record is from RNAcentral.
AUUGAACGCUGGCGGCAGGCCUCACACAUGCAAGUCGAGCGGAGCGGCGGACGGGUGAGGCAUGCCUAGGACUCGGCCUGGUAGUGGGGGCUAACGUCCGGGAACGGGCGCUAUUACCGCAUACUAGCAGAUGAGCAUAGGGCGGAUUAGCUAGUUGGUGGGGUAAAGGCCUAACAAGGCGACGAUCCGUAACUGGUCUGAGAGGAUGAUCAGUCACACUGGAACUGAGACCCGGUCCAGAAUCGUACGGGAGGAAGCAGUGGGGAAUAUUGGACAAUGGUCGAAAGCCUGAUCCAGCCAUGCCGCGGGAGGGAAGAAGGUCUUCGGAUUGUAAAGCACUUUAAGUUGGGAGGCGUUACCAACAGAAUAAGCACCGGCUAACUUCGUGCCAGCAGCCGCGGUAAUAC